GACGAACGCUGGCGGCGUGCCUAAUACAUGCAAGUAGAACGCUGAAGGAGGAGCUUGCUUCUCCGGAUGAGUUGCGAACGGGUGAGUAACGCGUAGGUAACCUGCCUGGUAGCGGGGGAUAACUAUUGGAAACGAUAGCUAAUACCGCAUAAGAGUAGAUGUUGCAUGACAUUUGCUUAAAAGGUGCAAUUGCAUCACUACCAGAUGGACCUGCGUUGUAUUAGCUAGUUGGUGGGGUAACGGCUUACCAAGGCGACGAUACAUAGCCGACCUGAGAGGGUGAUCGGCCACACUGGGACUGAGACACGGCCCAGACUCCUACGGGAGGCAGCAGUAGGGAAUCUUCGGCAAUGGACGGAAGUCUGACCGAGCAACGCCGCGUGAGUGAAGAAGGUUUUCGGAUCGUAAAGCUCUGUUGUAAAAGAAGAACGAGUGUGAGAGUGGAAAGUUCACACUGUGACGGUAUCUUACCAGAAAGGGACGGCUAACUACGUG
RNAcentral lists this ribosomal RNA (495 nucleotides) under uncultured bacterium. Its description in RNAcentral is "partial 16S ribosomal RNA". It matches the Rfam family "Bacterial small subunit ribosomal RNA", at positions 28 to 507 of the family's 1533-position model. The record is from RNAcentral.